This 169-nucleotide ribosomal RNA is filed under the name uncultured bacterium. RNAcentral describes it as "partial 16S rRNA". It matches the Rfam family "Bacterial small subunit ribosomal RNA", at positions 355 to 515 of the family's 1533-position model. The record is from RNAcentral.
UAGGGAAUCUUCGGCAAUGGGGGCAACCCUGACCGAGCAACGCCGCGUGAGUGAAGAAGGUUUUCGGAUCGUAAAGCUCUGUUGUAAGAGAAGAACGUGUGUGAGAGUGGAAAGUUCACACAGUGACGGUAACUUACCAGAAAGGGACGGCUAACUACGUGCCAGCAGC